Molecule: long non-coding RNA, 2242 nt
Organism: Felis catus (domestic cat)
Lineage: Eukaryota; Metazoa; Chordata; Mammalia; Carnivora; Felidae
Exons: 3
Source: RefSeq, a predicted model, not a curated record
UACAGAUGAGGAAAGUGAUAUAUAUGGAGAGAUGAUGCGAUUUGCCCAGGGUUACACACUAUUCUGCAGAGUCAGAAUUCACAUUCUGGCGGUGUUACUUCAAGCUCUUAACAAGCUCUCAAGGAGCAUCAACAUUUAAGAAGACUACAAGGGAGCUGUCAGAAGGAAUGGAAACCAGGAGACUUCCAAGAAGGCAAGAGUGGCAAGAGAGGCAAAGGUUGAUGAAUUUUGUAUUGAAUCAGUUGAUAUAAAAGAAAAGCUGUAGAAAGAUUCUAAAAAUAUCUCAUCAGCGUGAAGUGUGUAAUCAGAACACCAUAGCUGCUUGCUGGUACCGAUGCUUGAGAAGGAAAACCUCACUAGUGUUGUUUAGAGAGGUCAUGGCGAGGUCAUGACUGCUGGUUGAACCUUGAGUUAGAUGGGAGUGUCCUUACCCCUCCCCUGUAGUUUGAAAUGUACAUUCCACACUCCAGUCCCACACUAGGGGCUAUUUUAAGAAUGAAGCCUUGAGAAGGUAAUGUGUUAUUGAGACCACCUGGACUGUACUCAUGGCUGAAUGCUGUUAAGGCUUCUAUAGAAACUUAAGAUUCUAGCAAGCAGGUGCAGAGAUCUACUCAGUUUGCAGCUGCGGGAGACAAGCCUCCUAUGUCAGUUCCCUUGCUUAUUAAACCCACCGCCUACCAAUCUGGCUUGACCCUUUCGUCCAUCCCUACUUGGCUUCUGUGUAUGGGAGCAGUUUCGUGUUUCACCUAGAGAAACUCCUAAGUUUGUGAACUAAGAAGUGUGGUGACAAUGGCAUCAGAAAGGUGUUAAGGUGACUCUUAAACUGACUUUGCAGCCUGAUUGUGGAAGAUUGAGAAUAAAAGAGCAAGAUAAUGCGAUGCACCUAUUUCCUAGAAAACGGAGGUAUCGUUUUAAAAAAAAAAUAGGGGAAUAAGCUGGUGUUGGGAAAAGUUAUACAUUAGUUUGAGGGCGUAUUGUGCUAGAAGUGACAGAAAGAUAUACAAAUGGAAUUACUCAGCAGAUAAAAAGUAAAUUUCUCAGUAGUCUCUUCAGAGUUUUAAGAGUAAUUGGCAUAGAUUGGCACAGAUUUUUGAAGCUCUUUGAUCGGAUGAGUUCUCCAAAGGAUAUACCUCAAGGGAUCACAGGGACUGAAGUUCCAGUGGUCUAGAGUUAAAGACAAGAGGAAGAGAAGGGGUAUAUGGAAAAAAAGCUGCUAGAAACUUUAAGGAGCAUGGGGCUGGCACAUUGUUUCAAGAAGUCUUCAAGACCCAACAUCUACGGGUCCAUCCUGCUGUACUUAGACCUCGACUUUCUUUAUCCUGGGACCAAGAAGGCUUCUCCAACCCCGGGCAUCACAGCUGUGUUCUGGUCGGGAGAAAGGGGAGAAAGUAAAAAGACAAAAAAGUAAGAUGACGUGUUAUGGCUUUAGCCUUUUCUGUGGAAAUAGCUUACUGCUUCUGACUGGGUUCUGCUUCUGCCUGUUACUGCUCUGCUGACCACACCAGCUCACAGCCUUUUGGAGUUUUGAAAAAGUAACCAACAAUGAGGAAUAAUAUGAGAACCUUUUACCUGCUCCCCUCCAUUUCUCUUUUCAAGUUUUACACUUUCCAAAGAAGAUAAGCAAUGGACGAAUGCCAUACGAAUAUCUAGUAGACAAAAACUUGAAGGUAGACUUAGCAUUUCAGAGAAAAAGAAACUCUUUGAAAUAUUUUUGACAGACCCGGAAUAUGAAUAUCCAAGAGAAAGAUAAGGCUAUAGCUGUGGGCUUUUUGGGACAUGGGCUAUUGGGAGUAAGUUCACCAGGUCUAGAAAUAAGUGUGUGUUAUGAUCACUGGGAGGGAAGUGAGGCUUCCCCUCUAUUCUCUUUACCAUUAGCUUCAAGUAUCUCUCUCGCUGAGGCCUAGAGUGGGGCUUCGAGCUGUAUGUGUCAUAAAAGAACAUGGAACUGGAAAGGAAAUGGAAGGCUUAAUUUACUGCAGUAGGAAAAAAACUGUUUCAGUUUGUUUGUUCUCCAGUUGCCAAAGUAAUUUUGUUGUAACUACAUGUGUAAGUAAAUAAAUUAGACAUGGUCAUCAUUAAAAAUAAAAGGAGUUAUGCUGGGAUUGUCAUGUCACUCAUUGAAAGAAGAUCUAUGUGCUUUUGAAACAAGGUAUGUUGUCAAGAAGUUUAUUAUUAAGAAUAAACUACAGGAAUAAUAAUAAUAAAAAAAACUAUAGGAAUGAGUACAACCUAUGGGCAACCA